AUACGUAGGUGGCAAGCGUUAUCCGGAUUUACUGGGUGUAAAGGGCGCGUAGGCGGGGAUGCAAGUCAGAUGUGAAAUCUAUGGGCUUAACCCAUAAACUGCAUUUGAAACUGUAUCUCUUGAGUGCUGGAGAGGUAGACGGAAUUCCUUGUGUAGCGGUGAAAUGCGUAGAUAUAAGGAAGAACACCAGUGGCGAAGGCGGUCUACUGGACAGUAACUGACGCUGAGGCGCGAAAGCGUGGGGAGCAAACAGGAUUAGAUACCCUGGUAGUCCACGCUGUAAACGAUGAAUACUAGGUGUAGGGGGUAUCGACUCCCUCUGUGCCGCAGUUAACACAAUAAGUAUUCCGCCUGGGGAGUACGGCCGCAAGGUUGAAACUUAAAGGAAUUGACGGGG
This 397-nucleotide ribosomal RNA is filed under the name uncultured bacterium. Its description in RNAcentral is "partial 16S ribosomal RNA". It matches the Rfam family "Bacterial small subunit ribosomal RNA", at positions 523 to 918 of the family's 1533-position model. The record is from RNAcentral.